RNAcentral lists this transfer RNA (88 nucleotides) under Myxococcales bacterium. RNAcentral's name for it is "tRNA-Ser". It matches the Rfam family "tRNA". Rfam says of the family: Transfer RNA (tRNA) molecules are approximately 80 nucleotides in length. Their secondary structure includes four short double-helical elements and three loops (D, anti-codon, and T loops). Further hydrogen bonds mediate the characteristic L-shaped molecular structure. tRNAs have two regions of fundamental functional importance: the anti-codon, which is responsible for specific mRNA codon recognition, and the 3' end, to which the tRNAs corresponding amino acid is attached (by aminoacyl-tRNA synthetases). tRNAs cope with the degeneracy of the genetic code in two manners: having more than one tRNA (with a specific anti-codon) for a particular amino acid; and 'wobble' base-pairing, i.e. permitting non-standard base-pairing at the 3rd anti-codon position. The record is from RNAcentral. Lineage: Bacteria; Pseudomonadati; Myxococcota; Myxococcia; Myxococcales. RNAcentral also lists the same sequence under 1 other name.
GGAGAGGUGGCCGAGUGGUCGAAGGCGGCGGUCUUGAAAACCGCUGAUCCGCAAGGGUCCGUGGGUUCGAAUCCCACCCUCUCCGCCA